RNAcentral lists this unclassified non-coding RNA (300 nucleotides) under rhizosphere metagenome. Its description in RNAcentral is "partial ribosomal RNA internal transcribed spacer region". The record is from RNAcentral.
GUAGGUGAACCUGCGGAAGGAUCAUUAACACGUAUCCACGUUAUCAACCAAUGGGCAACCUUUUUCACUGCACUCGCAUAGAGCUAUGCACUACACGUCGGGAUUUGAUACCGUGGUGUGCUCGACUGCGAGUUGUUUCCAAUUACGAUUGGAUCACUCCUCACUACCCCACUAACACCUCCUUCAUUAGUUGUCUAUUUAUUUGCUGCUUUACAUUGACGUUAAUUCCUCUCUGUGACGCGCACGUUUACUUAUCUGAACGUUAAAAUACAACUCUUAGCAAUGGAUAUCUUGGUUCUC